RNAcentral lists this ribosomal RNA (254 nucleotides) under uncultured bacterium. RNAcentral describes it as "partial 16S ribosomal RNA". It matches the Rfam family "Bacterial small subunit ribosomal RNA", at positions 524 to 776 of the family's 1533-position model. The record is from RNAcentral.
UACGUAGGGUGCAAGCGUUGUCCGGAAUUAUUGGGCGUAAAGAGCUCGUAGGCGGUGUGUCGCGUCGGCCGUGAAAACCUGGGGCUUAACUCUGGGCGUGCGGUCGAUACGGGCAUCACUGGAGUUCGGCAGGGGAGACUGGAAUUCCUGGUGUAGCGGUGAAAUGCGCAGAUAUCAGGAGGAACACCGGUGGCGAAGGCGGGUCUCUGGGCCGAUACUGACGCUGAGGAGCGAAAGCAUGGGUAGCGAACAGG